Molecule: long non-coding RNA, 2025 nt
Organism: Triticum dicoccoides
Lineage: Eukaryota; Viridiplantae; Streptophyta; Magnoliopsida; Poales; Poaceae
Exons: 2
Source: RefSeq, a predicted model, not a curated record
ACGAGCCGAGCUGCUCGUUAGUCCACCCCUACCAGAGACGGACCUAGGGGAGGCAGGGCGGCAUGGCCCCACCAACACUGGAGGUCGAGGACUCCGAUGAGCACAGGCGUGGGCGCUUGGCCGGGGGAGCCCCGACAGCGAGGCGGGGGCGAGGCAGGGUGCAAGCGCGGGCGAUGUGGCCGUAGAAGCCACAACGACGGCAACGCCAGUCAUGGCGGCACUUGGAGCGAGGGUGCCCUGGGUAGCGGGACUUGGAGAAGACGUCGGAGUCACGACGCGCCGGAGGAGGAGAGGCCGGGCGGCACGGCGGGGCGCUGCGAUGGGGCCUCGGCCGGUGCUGGCGCGGGGAGCGGAGUCGGCGGUCAUGGCGGCCCCUGGCAACCUCCCAGGGCGCCUCAUCAGCGGGCUCCUCCACCGGGAGCACUGGCGGAGCUACUCACGGGCAAAACCGUGCCGUGGCCCGCCCAGCAAAAUUGCCAAACUUUUUUUUAAUACAUAUGCUCAAAGCCCAGCCCACAGCCACAUAGCGCACAGCCCAUAAUCAAUAGCGUCAUGGCCCAAAGCCCCAAACGCUCAGUCCAAUAAAGCUGCACACCGCACCCACCGCUCACAUCCAUCCCCAUCCCCUGUUCGGGGACUCCACUAGGACGACUAGGGCACGGCGCCGGCCGACGGCAGAGGUCCGGCUAGUCGGAGCUAGCCCCUACCCUUCCCAGUAGCAAUCCAUCCCGCAUCCCAGCAUCCUCCAUCUGAUGUGGCCGCAGUAGCUGCAGCGGCGACCCGGCCAGUGGCGAUCCGGCAGCAGCAGCAGCAAGCAGAGUAACAAGCAGCGGCUGCUAUUGAGCUGCCGGUCCUUGUGACGAAUGACCACUCCGGCGUCAUUGCCGUGCUGCAGGUGACCCAGACAUAGGUGAAUUCCUCUCUUGAUUUGUAGAGUACAGUAGUAUGUAACAGCACAGGUGACCCAGGAUCGGAAAGCUGAUUUGUACCAUGAAUCCAUGAUGACCAUGACUGAUGGUAAGCUACUGUGGCUUCUUUUGUUUAGUACUAGUAUAUAUGUACAUAAAUAUGUGUGUGCAUCUUCUAAUCAAUGAGAACAAGUAUGCAGCUCCAUACUGUCUAUGCCUACUGAAAUAGUAUAUGGUUCAAAUUUUCAUAUUUUUUUUGUGCUCUUCAUUAGUUUGGCCCGCCCAGUUUUUUCAUUGUAGCUCCGCCACUGACCGGGAGCACGCGGUGGAUCUCCGAGCGCGGGAUCCGCCUGGGGCGACCACAGUCGCCGGCACAUGGGAAGGCGCGGGCUCGUCGCAGAACGCCUGGCGGUAGGAGCGGAGCGGGCUCACCGAGGGCGGCGGGCUAUCCUCCAGCCAGCGCAGCUCACGGAGACGGCCCCCACCAGAAGGCGCUGGAGAUGACAUGCCCCAGGAGGCGGGCUUCGGCUGGUGGACGCCGGGCCGGAGUGGCCGCCGGCAGUGGCUUGGGGUGGGAGCGGGGAGCAGGUCCGUCGUCGGCCUGUCGUCCUCCGCGACGUGUGUGUUUGUGUUUCAGGCCUCGGAUCGAGAAGAGGUUGUCCUAUCGAUUAGCCUACUUUCAUCCCCGUUGGUUUAACUUGUCUGCAACUGGAAAUUGCUUAAACUUCUCUGCUAAGUGCUGCUGAAUGGCUUGCUUUAUAUUUUCAAUAACCUGGCCGUAUUUUCGACAUGCAGAUCGAUUUUAGUUGCACUGCACAAAAGGAACAUGCGCUUAACUAUGUGCUUUAGAGAUAUAUAAAUGGCAGCAACUAUGGACUCAUGUUUGUUUGUCUGCCGCAACAUCCUAUAUGAGGCGCAGGGGUUACUUAUGAUACCCGUCAAACAUAUAUAUAGAAGUGACAUCGCAUUUCAAGAUUUGUAGACUGCUCGAGAUGACUAGGCGUAGAUACAUAAGUUGGUUGUGGACUUGUAAAACUUUUGUACUAUGUGAACGUCAUUGUAUUACGUGAACUUGUAAAACUGCAAACGAAUAAUAAUGUGUAUGCCUUUGUACUUA